GGGUUGUGAGGUUAAGCGACUAAGCGUACACGGUGGAUGCCCUGGCAGUCAGAGGCGAUGAAGGACGUGCUAAUCUGCGAUAAGCGUCGGUAAGGUGAUAUGAACCGUUAUAACCGGCGAUUUCCGAAUGGGGAAACCCAGUGUGAUUCGUCACACUAUCAUUAACUGAAUCCAUAGGUUAAUGAGGCGAACCGGGGGAACUGAAACAUCUAAGUACCCCGAGGAAAAGAAAUCAACCGAGAUUCCCCCAGUAGCGGCGAGCGAACGGGGAGGAGCCCAGAGCCUGAAUCAGUGUGUGUGUUAGUGGAAGCGUCUGGAAAGGCGCGCGAUACAGGGUGACAGCCCCGUACACAAAAAUGCACAUAUUGUGAGCUCGAUGAGUAGGGCGGGACACGUGGUAUCCUGUCUGAAUAUGGGGGGACCAUCCUCCAAGGCUAAAUACUCCUGACUGACCGAUAGUGAACCAGUACCGUGAGGGAAAGGCGAAAAGAACCCCGGCGAGGGGAGUGAAAAAGAACCUGAAACCGUGUACGUACAAGCAGUGGGAGCACGCUUAGGCGUGUGACUGCGUACCUUUUGUAUAAUGGGUCAGCGACUUAUAUUCUGUAGCAAGGUUAACCGAAUAGGGGAGCCGAAGGGAAACCGAGUCUUAACUGGGCGUUAAGUUGCAGGGUAUAGACCCGAAACCCGGUGAUCUAGCCAUGGGCAGGUUGAAGGUUGGGUAACACUAACUGGAGGACCGAACCGACUAAUGUUGAAAAAUUAGCGGAUGACUUGUGGCUGGGGGUGAAAGGCCAAUCAAACCGGGAGAUAGCUGGUUCUCCCCGAAAGCUAUUUAGGUAGCGCCUCGUGAAUUCAUCUCCGGGGGUAGAGCACUGUUUCGGCAAGGGGGUCAUCCCGACUUACCAACCCGAUGCAAACUGCGAAUACCGGAGAAUGUUAUCACGGGAGACACACGGCGGGUGCUAACGUCCGUCGUGAAGAGGGAAACAACCCAGACCGCCAGCUAAGGUCCCAAAGUCAUGGUUAAGUGGGAAACGAUGUGGGAAGGCCCAGACAGCCAGGAUGUUGGCUUAGAAGCAGCCAUCAUUUAAAGAAAGCGUAAUAGCUCACUGGUCGAGUCGGCCUGCGCGGAAGAUGUAACGGGGCUAAACCAUGCACCGAAGCUGCGGCAGCGACGCUUAUGCGUUGUUGGGUAGGGGAGCGUUCUGUAAGCCUGUGAAGGUGUGCUGUGAGGCAUGCUGGAGGUAUCAGAAGUGCGAAUGCUGACAUAAGUAACGAUAAAGCGGGUGAAAAGCCCGCUCGCCGGAAGACCAAGGGUUCCUGUCCAACGUUAAUCGGGGCAGGGUGAGUCGACCCCUAAGGCGAGGCCGAAAGGCGUAGUCGAUGGGAAACAGGUUAAUAUUCCUGUACUUGGUGUUACUGCGAAGGGGGGACGGAGAAGGCUAUGUUGGCCGGGCGACGGUUGUCCCGGUUUAAGCGUGUAGGCUGGUUUUCCAGGCAAAUCCGGAAAAUCAAGGCUGAGGCGUGAUGACGAGGCACUACGGUGCUGAAGCAACAAAUGCCCUGCUUCCAGGAAAAGCCUCUAAGCAUCAGGUAACAUCAAAUCGUACCCCAAACCGACACAGGUGGUCAGGUAGAGAAUACCAAGGCGCUUGAGAGAACUCGGGUGAAGGAACUAGGCAAAAUGGUGCCGUAACUUCGGGAGAAGGCACGCUGAUAUGUAGGUGAAGUCCCUUGCGGAUGGAGCUGAAAUCAGUCGAAGAUACCAGCUGGCUGCAACUGUUUAUUAAAAACACAGCACUGUGCAAACACGAAAGUGGACGUAUACGGUGUGACGCCUGCCCGGUGCCGGAAGGUUAAUUGAUGGGGUCAGCGCAAGCGAAGCUCUUGAUCGAAGCCCCGGUAAACGGCGGCCGUAACUAUAACGGUCCUAAGGUAGCGAAAUUCCUUGUCGGGUAAGUUCCGACCUGCACGAAUGGCGUAAUGAUGGCCAGGCUGUCUCCACCCGAGACUCAGUGAAAUUGAACUCGCUGUGAAGAUGCAGUGUACCCGCGGCAAGACGGAAAGACCCCGUGAACCUUUACUAUAGCUUGACACUGAACAUUGAGCCUUGAUGUGUAGGAUAGGUGGGAGGCUUGGAAGUGUGGACGCCAGUCUGCAUGGAGCCGACCUUGAAAUACCACCCUUUAAUGUUUGAUGUUCUAACGUUGACCCGUAAUCCGGGUUGCGGACAGUGUCUGGUGGGUAGUUUGACUGGGGCGGUCUCCUCCUAAAGAGUAACGGAGGAGCACGAAGGUUGGCUAAUCCUGGUCGGACAUCAGGAGGUUAGUGCAAUGGCAUAAGCCAGCUUGACUGCGAGCGUGACGGCGCGAGCAGGUGCGAAAGCAGGUCAUAGUGAUCCGGUGGUUCUGAAUGGAAGGGCCAUCGCUCAACGGAUAAAAGGUACUCCGGGGAUAACAGGCUGAUACCGCCCAAGAGUUCAUAUCGACGGCGGUGUUUGGCACCUCGAUGUCGGCUCAUCACAUCCUGGGGCUGAAGUAGGUCCCAAGGGUAUGGCUGUUCGCCAUUUAAAGUGGUACGCGAGCUGGGUUUAGAACGUCGUGAGACAGUUCGGUCCCUAUCUGCCGUGGGCGCUGGAGAACUGAGGGGGGCUGCUCCUAGUACGAGAGGACCGGAGUGGACGCAUCACUGGUGUUCGGGUUGUCAUGCCAAUGGCACUGCCCGGUAGCUAAAUGCGGAAGAGAUAAGUGCUGAAAGCAUCUAAGCACGAAACUUGCCCCGAGAUGAGUUCUCCCUGACUCCUUGAGAGUCCUGAAGGAACGUUGAAGACGACGACGUUGAUAGGCCGGGUGUGUAAGCGCAGCGAUGCGUUGAGCUAACCGGUACUAAUGAACCGUGAGGCUUAACCUUACAACGCCGAAGCUGUU
Molecule: ribosomal RNA, 2930 nt
Filed under: Escherichia coli
Lineage: Bacteria; Pseudomonadati; Pseudomonadota; Gammaproteobacteria; Enterobacterales; Enterobacteriaceae
Description: bacterial LSU rRNA
Rfam family: Bacterial large subunit ribosomal RNA
Source: RNAcentral